RNAcentral lists this long non-coding RNA (283 nucleotides) under Strongylocentrotus purpuratus (purple sea urchin). RNAcentral describes it as "uncharacterized LOC115923005". The record is from RNAcentral. Lineage: Eukaryota; Metazoa; Echinodermata; Echinoidea; Camarodonta; Strongylocentrotidae.
CUUGCGUUCUACGUUGACUCGCUGUACUGGGCCAUGAAGGGACUAGGUACCGACGAUGACAAACUCAUUCGCAUCGUCGUAGGCAGAUCAGAGAUCGACCUGGCUUCCAUCAAGAAAAUGUUCAAAGAGAAAUACACCACCACCACCCUGGCCGCCAUGGUCGAAGACGAUACCAGUGGAGACUACAAGAAUGUUCUCAUUGGUAUCAUCAACGCCGAUGCUGCACCUACCCCAGCCCCCACCACCACCUAAAGACCGGCUGGAGUCAUUCCAUUCACCAAGU